Molecule: ribosomal RNA, 260 nt
Filed under: uncultured bacterium
Lineage: Bacteria
Description: partial 16S ribosomal RNA
Rfam family: Bacterial small subunit ribosomal RNA
Source: RNAcentral
UGAGUGGCGGACGGGUGAGUAACGCGUGGGCAACCUGCCCUGUACAGGGGGACAACACUUAGAAAUAGGUGCUAAUACCGCAUAACGGGGGGAGCCGCAUGGCACCCCCUGAAAACUCCGGUGGUACAGGAUGGGCCCGCGUCUGAUUAGCUGGUUGGCAGGGUAACGGCCUACCAAGGCGACGAUCAGUAGCCGGCCUGAGAGGGCGGACGGCCACACUGGGACUGAGACACGGCCCAGACUCCUACGGAAGGCAGCAG